Armigeres subalbatus is the source of this 3560-nucleotide long non-coding RNA. RefSeq lists it as uncharacterized. The record is from RefSeq and is a predicted model, not a curated record. The transcript is spliced from 3 exons. Lineage: Eukaryota; Metazoa; Arthropoda; Insecta; Diptera; Culicidae.
UACGGUUCGCCAACACUAUCCAAAUAAAUAAUGAGCGACAAGCUUAACAUCGACGUAAAAAUCUUGCUUAUAAAAGCAGUUCUCUGUUGUAAUGUUUAGUUUAUUUUGAAUCUUUAUUCGUUGUUAGUAUUUAUUUUACAAUUUACAAGAAAUCUCUAAAUUUUACAAUAUUUUAUUACAGUUAUUCUUAUUACAAAUUCAUCGAAAGAAAAUCUAUACUAUACUAUACCCAAGUAACCACUAAGCCGUUAAAACCGGCUUUAUUUCGGUUUUAUAGUCGCAUAAAAAAGUUGGUUACAAUGUUAGUAAGCCCUAAAUUAUGAUUUAGUGCUGCUCAAAAGCCGCUUUUGGCGAAUUAUUUGGCUGAUAUACUGCAUGCCCCUACCUAUUUUUCCACGCCUAUGCCAAAAUGUCAAAAAUUUUAGACGAGUGGGGAAGGAACAAAAAAAAAUGAAAUGAAAAAUAUUUAUUUACAUUUUAAUUCAUUCUUUCCUUUUUCUUCCCAUUGGAGAUUUUAUUUUUUGGUAAUUAUAUUAAUUUCCGGAUUUGAACGCUUGCUGCGUUUGGAGGAAGUAUGUGGUUUCGGGUGGCCGAUGAGUUAGCCAUCUGAUCUACCUCAGAAUUGGUUAGAUAUGUGUCUUGAGAAGGGUUAAUAAACAGAAGGAUCCUGUUUGCCUACAAUUCAAGGGCUGGGUAGCAUGAAAAUGGAAAUAUGAAACAUCGGUAAUAACAUGGAAGUUUUUGUUUUUAUCGGGGUAUUUACGAAUCCAUUCUUCAAGUGCCUACUAAUAAAUAUGACUAUAGACUAAAUCUACAGCGUCUACAGCUUACGAAUCAUUUAUCUGGCAUACAUACUCCAUGCAAUAUGCUGCAGUUCUCUAAACAAAUGGUAAUUAUGUUACUAAUAGCAUACAUCACAGGUUUAAAAAAAAUCUCUGCUGCAAAUGCGAGUAAAAGAGACAGGUUAUGGAAUUCUAUGCGUUAUUGUUGUUGAUUUCACAUAAACGUCAAAGAUUGUAGCCCCAAAUUGGCAAUGAUAGUUCCCUUAUACGGCUUGUAUCAACAGGGCUUCUUCGAAGCGUUAUAUACCGAUAUACGACUUCUUUUACUGCUUAAAGUUUAUACUGCCAAUAAGCACUUGAAAAUCAUAUAUACAGCUUUUAGACACUGAAAAGCUGAUAUAUGGUUAACAUAAGGCUUAUUAAAGUGCUUAAUGGUUUCCUGGGUAUAUAUAUAUACAAUACAAUUCAAUGUUCUACAAUAUUUUUUUUUUAACAGGGAAAAAAAUCACAUUUUUUUUGUGAGAUGCAAAAAAAACUUACUUCUUUACCAAUCAUCAUUGCAAUUUGUACACAGAAAGAAAAAAAAUUGUGUUACUGAGAACAUUGCGCUUUGAUUUUAACAGUUGGUCAGUUUUGGUAAUUUUGAGUAACGAAACAUCAACUGUGACAAUAAAACUCUAAAUACAAAAGUUUCUUUUUAAACAAAAAAUUGUUAUUUUGAAUGCGAGAGUUUUUCAAAUGACUAAUCAAAAAAUAUCAAAUAGUAUCCAAAUCUUCUUGAAGCUUGGCAACACUAGACAAAAAUUAAAUCCAUUUGGCACCUAUCCGAGCUGUCAAAUAAUUCCCGCUCUCUCCCCAAAAAUAUUCACGACUAAAUUGCGUUUCGAAUUACUGACCGGGAUUCGGCAUUUUUAGUGAUUUGUCCGCAGUGUUCCUUCAGCUUCCGAUACACUCCAAAUCCCGGCAAGAAAAAAUCAUCCGCCGUGCCAAUAAUAGGUAGAUGGGGCUCUGAAACUGAUCGGCGAUUACGGAAUGGAGGAGUGUAUGAAAAGGUGAAGGAGGUCACCGGAAGGAGGAAGUAAUGGCAGAUGUCACUGACUUCACAAUUCGAAGCUGAGCGCCGCAAAAAAUAUUGUUUUCAUUGAUUACAACUUUAAGCUACAUGGAGAUGAAGGACGAACGGAUGGCCUUGAAAUUUCUUGAAGCAUAUUUGAUGUUCUCGGUUAGGGAGAGAUAUCACCAAGGACAUCCCCAAAUAGCAGAAGAGAAAGCUGGACUACAACGCAGCGGAGGAGAUAUUUAAAAAAAAGUAUCAUUUACACAACUAUGCAAGAUAAUAUAUAAUAAAUAAAUAAAAACGAAAUGAUGGCAUACAGCAUUUUAUUGCUUUGAAUAUAUCACAGUUGAUUUUAAUAUAAAAUAUACUUUUAGUUUUGAGAGGAAAAUGUAAUUUUAAGAGUAGAAUUCACAUGUAGUCUUGAGAGGAAACUGUUAUUUUGAAAAGCAAAAUACACAUUUAGAUUUGAGAGGAAAAAGUUAUUUUGACAAGUUUGCUCUUGUCAAAGUCUUCACCGAAGUGACAAUUUUUGCAUUGGUAGAUUCAACAAUGUUAUACUUUCUACACUGAAAAUAAUGUUGAAGUAACAAUAACCAUGGAACAGCGCUUAAAAUUACUAUUUAAGUUUGUUUUUGACAUAAACGAAAACAUAUUUAAAAUAAAAACACAUUUGUAAAUUUUACUACACGCAUGGUUCAAAUAACAACAUUAUGUGGUGAAGAAAAUUUACAAAACAAAGAACAUUCUCAGGCCAACAUCGAGAAUGAUAUGGGUGGCAAAUCAAUUUAGCUGCGAAUAAUUAAGUACUAAUCUGCUCAAUCGAAUACCUUGGGGAUAAUGACUAUCGUUCUAUUCGUCACUGAAAGUGGUUCGUAUGGAUUCAUUUACUGGCCCGGAAUAUUCAUCAAGGAAGUGCAGGUUCUCAGGUAUUACGAGAAUCAAGAAUGUAAUGACCAAAGUGAUCCGACGUAGGUGCCAUACAAGUAACUGCUGUCGCUGAAAGAUUCCUGUUGCUGCCGAAAACUUAGAAAAUCCGGAGGAAUGAUGGAUUGCAAUUUUUAUUCGUACCUACUCGAACAUGUUUUAUCACAAAUAUUCUUUAUCAUGCGCCAAUGUUCUAUUAGUUAAACAAUAGAUGCUAAUAAAUGUUCAAUGCAAACAAUAAAUAAACCAAAAUUAAUCAUUUUCUUAUUCCCUUACAUAAAUGAAAAUAUCAAUUGUUAUACUAUUGUUAUACUAUGGAUCAAAAAUGGGCAUGGUUAAAAGUACCGCAAUAUUUACUGCUGCACAUAGUAGUAUUAACAAAAAACAUGGUACAAUUGGACAAGAAAUGUCAAAAAGACACCAUAGUAAAAUCAACUGCAGUUAUGGUUGAUUCAAGUGUAUGCUGUAGUCUGCACAAAUCAAGUGGUAAAAUGUUUUUAAUUUUACCCUCGAUUUGGUAGAUAUUACCAUGCCGCUUCUUUCAGUGUACUGAAAAUCACUAUUGCCUGAUUUUCUCAAAAUUGCACGCGGCGAACCUUUCAUGAAAGGUACCGCCGCGCUUUCUGCACCCCGUUUACUUGAUUCUUAUGGAUGAAUAGCAUUGCGGUGUAUCGUUUGUCGCGGCCGUACCUUUCGACAGUCAUUCGCCGCGUGAAGUUUUGUGCAAGUACCCAUUUGGGAACAUUACAAACGCCGCGCAGUGUAUCAUAUCCAGAAAAUCUGACAAUAACUAUUUU